CCUUUUGCAUAAUGAGCCUACGAGUUACUGUCACUGGCAAGGUUAAGUCCUUUAAGGGAUGCAGCCGGAGCGAAAGCGAGUCUGAAUAGGGCGUGCAGUCAGUGGUAGUAGACGCGAAACUUUGUGAUCUACCCUUGGUCAGGAUGAAGCCCCGUUAACCCGGGGUGGAGGUCCGAACUAGUAAACGUUGAAAAGUUUUUGGAUGAACUGAGGGUAGGGGUGAAAGGCUAAUCAAACUGAGAAAUAGCUCGUACUCCCCGAAAUGUUUUUAGGAACAGUGUGGAGGUUGAGUUUAAUAGAGGUAGAGCUACCAAUUGGACUAGGGGGAGUCACAUCCUACCAAAUCCAGAUGAACUCCGAAUGCUAUUAAAUAUACUCUGCAAUGAGGGCGCGGGUGCUAAGGUCCGUGUCCGAGAGGGAAAGAACCCAGACCUACAGCUAAGGUCCCAAAAUCUAUACUAAGUUGAACUAAGGCGGUUCAGUUGCUGAGACAGCCAGGAGGUUAGCUUGGAAGCAGCUAUUCCUUUAAAGAGUGCGUAACAGCUCACUGGUCGAGCGACAGAGCAUCGAUAAUAAUCGGGCAUCAAGUAUAGUACCGAAGCUUAGGAUUGUAGUAAUACAGUGGUAGGGGAGCAUUCUAACAGCGGAGAAGUCGUGUGGUAAUGCACGGUGGAGCGGUUAGAAAAGCAAAUGUAGGCAUAAGUAACGAUAAGGCAGGUGAGAAACCUGCCCACCGAUAGACUAAGGUUUCCGCGGCAAUGCUAAUCAUCCGCGGGUAAGUCGGGACCUAAGGCGAAUCCGAAAGGAGUAGUCGAUGGCCAGCUGGUUAAUAUUCCAGUACUACCGUAAUGAGCGAUGGGAAGAAGGAGGAGUGAAAGUUCCGCGCCCUGACGAAAUAGGGCGUUAACAGGCGUAGGUAUAUCUUUGGUAGGCAAAUCCGCCAGAGAUGCUGAAACCCAAUAGUACGAGGAGGCUUCGGCCGAAUUGAUAGAGAACGUAAGCAGACUUCCAAGAAAAUCCCCUAAGCAUAUUGUUAUGGUACCCGUACCGCAAACCGACACAGGUAGUCAAGAAGAAUAUUCUAAGGUGCUCGAGUGAAUCAUGGCUAAGGAACUCGGCAAAUUAACCCUGUAACUUCGGGAGAAGGGGUGCCUCGUUCUAGCAAUAGAAAAGGUCGCAGAGAAAUGGCCCAGGCGACUGUUUAACAAAAACACAUGGCUUUGCGAAAUCGAAAGAUGAAGUAUAAGGCCUGACACCUGCCCGGUGCUGGAAGGUUAAGGGGGGACGUUAGUGCGCAAGUGCGAAGCGUUGAACUGAAGCCCCAGUAAACGGCGGCCGUAACUAUAACGGUCCUAAGGUAGCGAAAUUCCUUGUCGGGUAAGUUCCGACCUGCACGAAUGGUGUAACGAUCUGGGCGCUGUCUCAGCCAUGAGCUCGGUGAAAUUGUAGUCACGGUGAAGAUGCCGUGUACCCGUCACGGGACGGAAAGACCCCAUGCACCUUUACUAUAGCUUCACAUUGGUAUUGGGAGAAUGAUGUGUAGGAUAGGUGGGAGGCGUUGAUCCAGGGCCGCUAGGUUUUGGGGAGCCAAUGGUGAAAUACCACCCUUUAUUUUCUUGAUGCCUAACCUUGUAAAAGGGACAUUGUGUGGUGGGUAGUUUGACUGGGGUGGUCGCCUCCGAAAGUGUAUCGGAGGCUUUCAAAGGUAUGCUCAGUACGCUUGGUAACCGUACGUGGAGUGCAAUAGCAUAAGCAUGCUUGACUGUGAGACCGACGGGUCGAGCAGGGACGAAAGUUGGAUAUAGUGAUCCGGUGGUUCUGUAUGGAAGGGCCAUCGCUCAAAGGAUAAAAGGUACGCUGGGGAUAACAGGCUGAUCUCCCCCAAGAGCUCAUAUCGACGGGGAGGUUUGGCACCUCGAUGU
This 1922-nucleotide ribosomal RNA is filed under the name wastewater metagenome. RNAcentral describes it as "bacterial LSU rRNA". It matches the Rfam family "Bacterial large subunit ribosomal RNA", at positions 604 to 2532 of the family's 2925-position model. The record is from RNAcentral.